Long non-coding RNA from Bos taurus (domestic cattle), 696 nucleotides. Lineage: Eukaryota; Metazoa; Chordata; Mammalia; Artiodactyla; Bovidae. The record is from Ensembl.
ACAUGGCUCAGUGGUAAAGAAUCCACCUGCAGUGAAGGAGACAUAGGAGACGCAGUUUCAAUCCCUGGGUUGGGAAGAUCCCAUGGAGAAGGAAAUGGCAACCCACUCCAGUAUUCUUGCCUGGAGAAUCCCAUAGUCAGAGGAGCCUGGCUGGUUACAGCCCAUGGGGGUCACAAAGAGCCGAACACGACUGAAGUGGCUUAGUACAUCAAGCUUUUUAACGUUCGCCUUUUGAGCCAUGUUACCUGAUGCGACGACACAUCAUGCAGUGAUAGUCUCUGGGGCCUACUGGACAGCAGCUACGCAGGAUCUGAGGCUUUGGAUGUGAACAACACACUGGUCCAAGAAAAUCCACAGGAGAGGUUUUUGAUAUUGAGGAAGUUGGUUGCAGUGCCCUCUUUAUGAAGACCCAUGGAGGAAAUUUUCUUCAGGAAUCUUUGUGCUUCUCUUGAGUGUCUGAUUUGUUUCCAUUUUCUGGUUUUUGAAUUGACUGUUAGGCAGCUCAGAGUAAAAUUUUUGGCCCUUUUCCAGCAAGUCAACAGAGCUUCAUGGGUUAUAUUUUCUGUACCAGCCCCAGCUUUAUCUUAUUUCCCCUGCAAUCCAAUUUUCUCACUGUGUUUUAAAAAUAGAAUUGUAAUAUAUUCUUGUAAACUACAUUCUUCUUGGGCUAAAAUGAGAUGUAAAACAGUGAAUAAA